GAUGAACGCUGGCGGCGUGCUUAACACAUGCAAGUCGAACGAAGCACUUUAUUUGAUUUCCUUCGGGACUGAUUAUUUUGUGACUGAGUGGCGGACGGGUGAGUAACGCGUGGGUAACCUGCCUUGUACAGGGGGAUAACAGUUGGAAACGGCUGCUAAUACCGCAUAAGCGCACAGCAUCGCAUGAUGCAGUGUGAAAAACUCCGGUGGUAUAAGAUGGACCCGCGUUGGAUUAGCUAGUUGGUGAGGUAACGGCCCACCAAGGCGACGAUCCAUAGCCGACCUGAGAGGGUGACCGGCCACAUUGGGACUGAGACACGGCCCAAACUCCUACGGGAGGCAGCAGUGGGGAAUAUUGCACAGUGGGCGAAAGCCUGAUGCAGCGACGCCGCGUGAGCGAAGAAGUAUUUCGGUAUGUAAAGCUCUAUCAGCAGGGAAGAUAAUGACGGUAC
Molecule: ribosomal RNA, 452 nt
Filed under: uncultured bacterium
Lineage: Bacteria
Description: bacterial SSU rRNA
Rfam family: Bacterial small subunit ribosomal RNA
Source: RNAcentral